GCCGAGGUAGCCAAGCGGCCUACGGCGCCGGUCUUGAAAACCGGUGGGGCUUUGCCCCACGGGAGUUCAAAUCUCCCCCUCGGCGCCA
This 88-nucleotide transfer RNA is filed under the name Candidatus Methanoperedens sp. RNAcentral's name for it is "tRNA-Ser". It matches the Rfam family "tRNA". From Rfam's summary of the family: Transfer RNA (tRNA) molecules are approximately 80 nucleotides in length. Lineage: Archaea; Methanobacteriati; Methanobacteriota; Methanomicrobia; Methanosarcinales; Candidatus Methanoperedentaceae. The record is from RNAcentral. RNAcentral also lists the same sequence under 1 other name.